UACGUAGGCAGCGAGCGUUGUUCGGAGUUACUGGGCGUAAAGGGUGUGUAGGCGGUUUUCUAAGUCGGAUGUGAAAUCCCCAGGCUCAACCUGGGAACUGCAUCCGAUACUGGAUGGCUUGAAUUCGGGAGAGGGAUGCAGAAUUCCAGGUGUAGCGGUGAAAUGCGUAGAUAUCUGGAGGAAUACCGGUGGCGAAGGCGGCAUCCUGGACCGACAUUGACGCUGAGGAGCGAAAGCCAGGGGAGCAAACGGG
This 253-nucleotide ribosomal RNA is filed under the name uncultured bacterium. RNAcentral describes it as "partial 16S ribosomal RNA". It matches the Rfam family "Bacterial small subunit ribosomal RNA", at positions 524 to 776 of the family's 1533-position model. The record is from RNAcentral.